AGUGAACGCUGGCGGUAGGCCUAACACAUGCAAGUCGAACGGCAGCACAGUAAGAGCUUGCUCUUACGGGUGGCGAGUGGCGGACGGGUGAGGAAUACAUCGGAAUCUACUUUUUCGUGGGGGAUAACGUAGGGAAACUUACGCUAAUACCGCAUACGACCUACGGGUGAAAGCAGGGGAUCUUCGGACCUUACGCGAUUGAAUGAGCCGAUGUCGGAUUAGCUAGUUGGCGGGGUAAAGGCCCACCAAGGCGACGAUCCGUAGCUGGUCUGAGAGGAUGAUCAGCCACACUGGAACUGAGACACGGUCCAGACCCCUACGGGAGGCAGCAGUGGGGAAUAUUGGACAAUGGGCGCAAGCCUGAUCCAGCCAUACCGCGUGGGUGAAGAAGGCCUUCGGGUUGUAAAGCCCUUUUGUUGGGAAAGAAAAGCAGCAGGUUAAUACCCCGCUGUUCUGACGGUACCCAAAGAAUAAGCACCGGCUAACUUCGUG
RNAcentral lists this ribosomal RNA (492 nucleotides) under uncultured bacterium. Its description in RNAcentral is "partial 16S ribosomal RNA". It matches the Rfam family "Bacterial small subunit ribosomal RNA", at positions 29 to 507 of the family's 1533-position model. The record is from RNAcentral.